Molecule: unclassified non-coding RNA, 350 nt
Filed under: soil metagenome
Description: partial contains 5.8S ribosomal RNA, internal transcribed spacer 2, and large subunit ribosomal RNA
Rfam family: 5.8S ribosomal RNA (bases 1-120)
Source: RNAcentral
GAUGAAGAACGCAGCGAAAUGCGAUAAGUAAUGUGAAUUGCAGAAUUCAGUGAAUCAUCGAAUCUUUGAACGCACAUUGCGCCCAUUAGUAUUCUAGGGGGCAUGCCUGUUCGAGCGUCAUUUCAACCCUUAAGCCUAGCUUAGUGUUGGGAGACUGCCUAAUACGCAGCUCCUCAAAACCAGUGGCGGAGUCUGUUCGUGCUCUGAGCGUAGUAAUUUUUUAUCUCGCUUCUGCAAGCCGGCCAGACGACAGCCAUAAACCGCACCCUCUCGGGGGGCACUUUUUUAAUGGUUGACCUCGGAUCAGGUAGGAAUACCCGCUGAACUUAAGCAUAUCAAUAAGCGGAGGA